This 520-nucleotide ribosomal RNA is filed under the name Papilio blumei fruhstorferi. RNAcentral describes it as "partial 16S ribosomal RNA". The record is from RNAcentral. Lineage: Eukaryota; Metazoa; Arthropoda; Insecta; Lepidoptera; Papilionidae.
AAACAUGUCUUUUUGUAAAUAAUUUAAAGUUUAAUUUGCCCACUGAUNAAAGUAUUAAAGGGCUGCAGUAUUUUGACUGUACAAAGGUAGCAUAAUCAUUAGUCUCUUAAUUGGUGACUUGUAUGAAAGAUUGGAUGAGAUAUAAACUGUCUCUUAUUAAUUUAUAAAAUUUAAUUUUUUAGUAAAAAAGCUAAAAUAAUUUUAAAAGACGAGAAGACCCUAUAGAGUUUGAUAAUUUAUUUAAUUAUUGUUAAUAUUUAAAUUUUAAAAUAAAAAUAAAGUAAAUUAUUUUGUUGGGGUGAUAGAAAAAUUAAAUUAACUUUUUUUUUAUUAUUUACAUUAAUUUAUGAGUAAAUGAUCCAUUAGUAGUGAUUAAAAGAAAAAAUUACCUUAGGGAUAACAGCGUAAUUUUUUUUUUUAGUUCAAAUAGGAAAAAAAGUUUGCGACCUCGAUGUUGGAUUAAGAUAAAAUUUAAAUGCAAAAGUUUAAAAUUUUGAUCUGUUCAAUCAUUAAAAUCUUA